This 1483-nucleotide long non-coding RNA is filed under the name Homo sapiens (human). Its description in RNAcentral is "HSALNT0299699". Lineage: Eukaryota; Metazoa; Chordata; Mammalia; Primates; Hominidae. The record is from RNAcentral.
GUCGGUGAGACCAAGAACCCACCAUUUCCAGACACGCUGUUCUCUUCCUACGGACUGAAUGAAAAAUAAAAGGAAGUCAUUUCUGCAUGUGUCACAGAGGCAUCCUUUGGUUCUAAAGGAAGCUAAGUUGGAUUCCACAAGCCCAUGGUCCUUAUAGCAUGUGAAUAGGAUUCAGUCACGGACGAGAAGGAAGAGGUUCAGGAGAGACUGUAAUCGCCCUGUCCAGGCUAACCCUCCAGCUGUGCAGGAGUAUCAAGUCCAAAAAGAAGCUCUUCAAACCAUCUGGGAAGAGAAAACAGCAUGACAAGGAAAGGUGUAUUUGUCUGAUUCUAGGAAUCAAUAUAAACAUCCAUGAUAACCCCAUCUAAUUUUUAAAUGUAUGAUUUGGAUGAAACAAGAGAAGACACUGAUUGUUGCUGAGUCCCUGCUGUAGUCCUGACACAGCUGGAGAUGCCCUGCUCUCCUUAUUUUCUUGAUGCUCAUGAGGACCCUGAUGUCUAAGGAAGAAGGUUCUCGUCCAGGUCUGCCCCUGGUGUGUCACGUGCCAGCCUUGUCAAUGCACACGAGAACCUGACAGGUUUUAUGAUUUUAGAACAUAAGUUUUAUGAUUGUUAGUGCUGGGCAACAAAAAGGAGUCCAGAGGAACGGGAGAAAAAACAACAAUAGCAAUGAUGUGAAUGCAAAACAUGAACCAGACUAAGCAGAGCAGAGGGCGGUGUGGAGCGGGAAGCAGAGACAGAAGCUUGUGAUGUUUCAGUGAUUGCUGGGAGUUAUUCAUCACCGGUAAGCCUCAUGUUCCAAAGACUCAUCAGGGCCAGGGGUUAGUUUUACGAGCUCUGUGUAAAAGAUCAUUACACAGGGCCAGUUAGAGUUCCCGCAGGAAGGAAGCGGCACACCCUAUGGGGUGAUUAGGAAGAGUGUCAUGAAGGGUGCCACACUCACACCCUAGGAAAGAGGAAAGGGGCCCAAGGGGACUCACAGAGGGAGCAGAGGGUCUGUGGGCCACAGCCAGCCCAACCACAGAGUGGCCAGAGUGACAUAGGCCCCCUCUCUGCAGGCUGGUCUCCUGCUUGGGUGUGCCCCAAGUCACCCACCCAGAAGUCAAAGGUCGAGCAUGCUUUCCAUGAAGUCUGGAGGUACAGAGCAAGGCAGACAGCCACGGGCGUGUCAGGAGGGCAGCGGGAAAUGCUCAUCCCCUUCUCCAAGAAGAGGGAAUCCCACCAUCCACAGGUUCUUCCUGCUCUGUCUCAAAGGCGGAGGCAGCUAGAAUACUCUGUCAAAAAGCAACCACAGGAAGAACAUAAUGUCAAUGCAUGGCUUUAUGUUAACAUAAUUACAUUUAUUCCAGACAAAGGUUUUUUGUAAAUUAAAGAUAGAUUAUGUUGCAACUUUUAUACUCCUCUGCCUAAUUUAGUGAGUAUUUGAUAUAUUCAGAUUUAUUUUAACCAAUUAGUUUUUUUUAAUAGAGGCAGGGUCUCAGUCU